AAAUGUAAAAUGCCCCGCAGAAAACUUGCUCCACGCCCAUGCCAUCGUAAUGGAUCUCAUUCACAAAUUGUUGAGCGAAUAUAUUUUACAGACCCCUGUUUAUCCUGAAUGUACUGGACCGAACAACAUUAGAGCUUUUAGAUCUUGGACAGUUUUUGAAUAAAUUCAAAAGAAGAAUCGUUUUAUUGAAGCAGAAUUUUGAUUUAUAACCCAGAUUUUAAAGAGGAAGCUUCUCCAAAUAAUCGCAGAUAAAUGAAAAUGCUCCUUCAAGAACUGCCUGAAGCCUAUCGCAAUGUAAUGGAUAACAAACUGUCAUUCAGAAUCUUUUGAGCGAAUGCGUUCCAAUUUCCAGACCCAUGUUUAUCCUGAAUGUAGUGG
Molecule: long non-coding RNA, 378 nt
Organism: Argiope bruennichi
Lineage: Eukaryota; Metazoa; Arthropoda; Arachnida; Araneae; Araneidae
Exons: 3
Source: RefSeq, a predicted model, not a curated record